GAUGAACGCUGACAGAAUGCUUAACACAUGCAAGUCUUUGGCGAAUCUGUGCUUGCACAGGCUAGCCAAGGCGGACGGGUGAGUAACGCGUAAAGAACUUGCCCUGCAGACAGGGAUAACAGACGGAAACGACUGAUAACACCUGAUACAGUUGCCGGCACGCAUGUGCCUGGCAAUGAAAAGAGAUGCUGCAGGAGAGCUUUGCGUCCUAUUAGCUUGUUGGUGAGGUGACGGCUCACCAAGGCGAUGAUAGGUAGCCGGCCUGAGAGGGUGAACGGCCACAAGGGGACUGAGAUACGGCCCUUACUCCUACGGGAGGCAGCAGUGGGGAAUAUUGGACAAUGGGGGCAACCCUGAUCCAGCAAUUCUGUGUGCACGAAGAAGGUUUUCGGAUUGUAAAGUGCUCUCAGCAGGGAAGAAGAAAGUGACGGUACCUGCAGAAGAAGCGACGGCUAAAUACGUG
RNAcentral lists this ribosomal RNA (463 nucleotides) under uncultured bacterium. RNAcentral describes it as "partial 16S ribosomal RNA". It matches the Rfam family "Bacterial small subunit ribosomal RNA", at positions 28 to 507 of the family's 1533-position model. The record is from RNAcentral.